RNAcentral lists this ribosomal RNA (320 nucleotides) under uncultured bacterium. RNAcentral describes it as "bacterial SSU rRNA". It matches the Rfam family "Bacterial small subunit ribosomal RNA", at positions 28 to 334 of the family's 1533-position model. The record is from RNAcentral.
GACGAACGCUGGCGGCGUGCCUAAUACAUGCAAGUCGUACGCAUUGACGAUGGAACUUGUUCCGUCUGACGUGAGUGGCGCACGGGUGAGUAACACGUGGGAAACCUACCCUUCAGCGGGGGAUAACCGUCGGAAACGAUGGCUAAUACCGCAUAGGUCUUUGAGUCACCUGGCUUAAAGAGGAAAGACGGCUUCGGCUGUCACUGAAGGAUGGUCCCGCGGUGCAUUAGCUAGUUGGUAAGGUAAUGGCUUACCAAGGCAAUGAUGCAUAGCCGACCUGAGAGGGUGAUCGGCCACAUUGGGACUGAGACACGGCCCAA